RNAcentral lists this ribosomal RNA (246 nucleotides) under uncultured bacterium. RNAcentral's name for it is "partial 16S ribosomal RNA". It matches the Rfam family "Bacterial small subunit ribosomal RNA", at positions 524 to 769 of the family's 1533-position model. The record is from RNAcentral.
UACGAAGGGGGCUAGCGUUGUUCGGAUUUACUGGGCGUAAAGCGCACGUAGGCGGAUCGUUAAGUCGGGGGUGAAAUCCUGGAGCUCAACUCCAGAACUGCCUUCGAUACUGGCGAUCUUGAGUCCGGAAGAGGUGAGUGGAACUCCUAGUGUAGAGGUGGAAUUCGUAGAUAUUGGGAAGAACACCAGUGGCGAAGGCGGCUCACUGGCUCGUAUCUGACGCUCAGGCGCGAUAGCGUGGGGAGC